UAAACGUGAUGACUUCAACUUUUCUAUCCUUUCUUCCGUACGUACACUGCAUGCAGCAAUAUACCUUCAUCACCUGUAUACGGGGAUUAUAUAUAUCUCAAAUAUACGCAAGAGCAAGCUUUACGUAAUAAUGUACAAUUUCGAAAUCGAGGCAAAUUAUUGACAAACAAUUUGAAGAAAAACGAAUAUCAACAGUCUCGUUUUAAGGCAUCAUUUCUUAAGUUCUAUUGUUGAUACAAUGACCUUGUCAGCAAAUAUAAUUUAUUAUUGAGUCAAAUACUGACGGACGUUUUUCAUACUAAUUGUUGGUCCAAUAUUUACAAACUGAAAUGACGAUGAAUUUUCCGUUAUUUCUCGGUCAUGACAGAGCACACGGCAGGUGUGACCGGUUAGCAGAAGAUGCUCACGCCUCCAUGGCACGUGAUCCCACCUCUGCUGUUUCGGAGUUCCUUGAUUGAUCAGCUAUUAUUUUGUAUUGUUUUGUGGACUUCUGAGUUUGAAUACUGUUCGUUAUCAUCUCCAUAUAUUUCUUUUAUAAAUAUAACACAAUACAAAGAAGAAGGUACGGAUUUAGCUUUAUUGUGCCCUAAAAAUUUGAUGUUUUCAAAAAAGGUUUGAAACUGGCUUAAAUGUUAGUUGAGUUUAUGAUUGUGAAAGAUCAGGAAAGAAUAUGACAUUAAAGAGUACCAUUCUGGAAGUAUGACGUUAAUUUGAUGCAUUUCUCUAUUUUUAACAGAAAAAGCCUCAAAAUGACGCAUUUCGAGGAUACAUUUCCUUCAGAAAACAGUGUCCACAGUCGUCGCCCACUAUAAUUAUUUGAUAUGUUGUGUAAAAUUCAAUUCUAAUACUGUUAGCGAUAAAAUAUGCAAACAACGAGUGAUAUAUUUUAGUCUAUUACACAUCAAAUAUUGAUAAAAAACAAAAACAAAAAAGAUCGAUGUAGCGAUUAAAUUUUCACUUAAUUCAUUUUCUUGAAUUUUCCGGAAAAAGAUAAAAUUCUGCAACUUCCACAUAUUGCUUGAAGUGCUUAUUACUAGUAUUAAGUUAUUGCAUAGCCUAGCAACAAUGAGUUGUCGUGAACUGUUUUUUUAAAAAUAAAAAUGAACAUUUACCACUUUUUUGAAAUGAUGGAUAGAUAAUAAAUGCUUUAUACUUCUUAAUGAAUUAGAAAUUACCAUUUAGGAACUAGGAACUUCAUAUAUAUAUAUAGCUACAUCUAUAAACCGUUUCCCUAUUUGCGACUUAUUUUCCCUCUGUUUAUUUCUUUAUAGACAAAUGUAAUAGAGAUGGCAUAUUGAACUCUGUUUGAUCGGGUCUUGUAUUUGUGUAACUUCACCUAUGCUUUAUCAAACGUCUCAUUUAGAAUAAGGCAAAUUCUCCAAGGGACGGUACUGGUUCACAAUCGAUACUCUAAUUUGGCAUAAAUUGAUUCUCACAGCAAAAAGAGACAGUGAUGGUGUCAAUUUUUUAAAUCAACAUGUAAAAAUAACUGAACAAGGACCAACAUUUUAACAGUAUCGAGUUAAAUAAUUAAAUAAAAAUUCAACAUUUUAUCAUUAACUGUUGUACAUGUCAAGUUAAAUAUUGAAUUAAAAAAUCAAUUAAUGUU
Long non-coding RNA from Saccostrea cuccullata (small rock oyster), 1609 nucleotides. RefSeq lists it as uncharacterized. The record is from RefSeq and is a predicted model, not a curated record. Lineage: Eukaryota; Metazoa; Mollusca; Bivalvia; Ostreida; Ostreidae. The transcript has 2 exons.